UGUCUGUUAUGCAGAUUUAUUUCAGUUUUUUAUUUUGGUUAAUCUUUUUCUUGGUGUUGUAUAAAUUUACCAUGAGUUCUAGGUCAAGAAAAAGUUAAUCCAAGUGGAAUCUAAUUCUGGAUAACUCUAUUAUCUGCCUCGUGAUGCAAUGAAGCAUGGAGAAGUUGAUUAACAUUUUAGAACUCGUUGAAUCAGAAUUUGAGUAUUAAGAAUUGGACACAAUAUAGAAUAAAAUCUCUCAAUAUUUUAUUUCAUAAGAAUUAUCAACAGAAAAAACUUAUCUCAGUUACUGUGAUAUUGAAG
This 303-nucleotide long non-coding RNA is filed under the name Olea europaea (common olive). RNAcentral's name for it is "long non-coding RNA (OEUR_LNC010761)". The record is from RNAcentral. Lineage: Eukaryota; Viridiplantae; Streptophyta; Magnoliopsida; Lamiales; Oleaceae.